This 716-nucleotide ribosomal RNA is filed under the name uncultured bacterium. Its description in RNAcentral is "bacterial SSU rRNA". It matches the Rfam family "Bacterial small subunit ribosomal RNA", at positions 771 to 1501 of the family's 1533-position model. The record is from RNAcentral.
AACAGGAUUAGAUACCCUGGUAGUCCACGCCGUAAACGAUGCUAACUCGUUUUUGGGCUUUCGGGUUCAGAGACUAAGCGAAAGUGAUAAGUUAGCCACCUGGGGAGUACGUUCGCAAGAAUGAAACUCAAAGGAAUUGACGGGGGCCCGCACAAGCGGUGGAUUAUGUGGUUUAAUUCGAUGAUACGCGAGGAACCUUACCAAGGCUUAAAUGGGAAUUGACAGUUUCAGAAAUGAGAUUUUCUUCGGACAAUUUUCAAGGUGCUGCAUGGUUGUCGUCAGCUCGUGCCGUGAGGUGUUAGGUUAAGUCCUGCAACGAGCGCAACCCCUGUCACUAGUUGCCAUCAUUAAGUUGGGGACUCUAGUGAGACUGCCUACGCAAGUAGAGAGGAAGGUGGGGAUGACGUCAAAUCAUCACGGCCCUUACGCCUUGGGCCACACACGUAAUACAAUGGCCGGUACAGAGGGCAGCUACACAGCGAUGUGAUGCGAAUCUCGAAAGCCGGUCUCAGUUCGGAUUGGAGUCUGCAACUCGACUCUAUGAAGCUGGAAUCGCUAGUAAUCGCGCAUCAGCCAUGGCGCGGUGAAUACGUUCCCGGGCCUUGUACACACCGCCCGUCAAGCCAUGGAAGUCUGGGGUACCUGAAGUCGGUGACCGUAACAGGAGCUGCCUAGGGUAAAACAGGUAACUAGGGCUAAGUCGUAACAAGGUAACC